This 242-nucleotide ribosomal RNA is filed under the name uncultured bacterium. RNAcentral's name for it is "partial 16S ribosomal RNA". It matches the Rfam family "Bacterial small subunit ribosomal RNA", at positions 15 to 244 of the family's 1533-position model. The record is from RNAcentral.
GAUCAUGGCCCAGGAUGAACGCUGGCGGCAUGCCUAAUACAUGCAAGUCGAACGAAGUCUUUAGGAAGCUUGCUUCCAAAGAGACUUAGUGGCGAACGGGUGAGUAACACGUAGGUAACCUGCCCAUGUGCCCGGGAUAACUGCUGGAAACGGUAGCUAAAACCGGAUAGGUAUGAGGAAGGCAUCUUCCUCAUAUUAAAGCACCUUCGGGUGUGAACAUGGAUGGACCUGCGGCGCAUUAG